CCGCGUCCCAUUUUUAACUAUACGCAAGUACGAACAUUAUUUCCGCGAACGUAAACCGUUAUCGCAGUAAGUUUACGUUUGUAAAUCAACAAGUCGGUCGUCAAAUACGCAUUGUAUAAAAUACAACUAGGCAGUUAUUUAAAGUAAAGAAUUAGAGCUGCGCCUGCACAACCCACGAUGACCGAACACAGGAAAUGUCUGAACAGUCACCCGCCGGUUUCCUGAUGCAGAGUGAGACAAUAUGAACGUCAACCGGUUUCAGCUGAGCUCAUUCGACUAUCAGCAUACCUACGUACCUACCCACCAUAUCUACGUUUCUCUGCGAUUAAAUUUUGAACACUCGAUUGAGAUUGAGAGAGGCCUGGCGACCGGCCCAGGCCCACUACCGGUUCGAGACAGAAAUAUUCGGCAGCCGAGGCGGAAGUGGCCUCGGAAUCUUUACCUGUUGCUCCCUUCUCUCCCCGCUCGCGGCGACGCGGCAGCCGUCCCGCUCUUGCACGUACAAACAUGGCGGCUGGCGGCCUAGUCUGCGGUUAGGCGUCGAGUAGUUUCAUGUUGUGGAGUAAUUUGGAAAAUAAAACACAACGAUGUUGAACCGUACGUGGCCGUCGUGACCGUGACCGCAGAUCUUGACGCUACUUUCUUUGUCGAUUUUAUAAAUGUUACGCGAUCGCUUACAUUGUCUAUUCGUGUUUUUAUUUUCGUUUUCGUAAUCGACGGCCAUUUGUUAUCUAUGGAUAGUAAUGUUUGAUUGUUGAUAAGCUUUCAUUGCUUAUUAAGUUUAUGGAAGUGAAUAUGAUGAAUUUGGCGCCUUUUUAAUUAUACAUACGUAAUUUUUUUAAGCGUAGCUUUAAUGCAUUACAAUCUAAAAAUUGUAAGAUAAGAGGACAGGAGCUUAAUGUUUGCGGGUAGGUAAUAAUGGGUUGGAGGUAAAUGUGUGAGUGAGCUACAUGGGAAACAUUUAGUCAGAGGUGCGUGGCUGACGGCGGCGGCCCCGUCGGAAUGCGACGCGCGGCCGGACUCGAAUCUGAACAUGCGGAAGUGCCCGAAAUAAGUUCAUUGCGUGAGCGGCAUAUGUAGGUACAAUCUAACAGACUACUUGCCUCUGUUAAAUUCUAGCAUUGCUUCACAUUUGUAUUUCUUCAUUAGAACUUUUAUUUUAUAACUAAUUUUGAUGAUACGCAACAUUGUAGGGUAGUUCUUAAUAAUACGAUCAUCGAUACACUUAAAGUCGAGACCUUCCUGACUUUUCUAUACGUCGAUAUUCUAAAAUGUUAGUAUUGAAUGGAGUGUUCUGUUCAGUUUCUUGUUUAUAUGGCUCUCCCUCAGCGGAUUGGGUCAAAAUGGAGUGUUCCAUACAGGUUUGACGUCUUCCGAAGAGUCGAUUUUCGAAAUGUCAUUUUGUAAAUAACGCGGAGCAAAUUUAUCCUAAUUUCUUUUUUAGCCUCACUUUUUCUUUGGAUUAGGUACUUAUAGGUUAUAAAUCAAUGGCAAAUCUUUAACGUUAUUGAAAUUCUGAAGUUUCUCUGCAUAUACACUUAUUACUUUUAACACAAUACUAAUUUCAACGCCUCGAUAAUUUCUUUCCCUUUAAUUACUAUUUAAAAAGGAAAUUAGUUCUAGUUGCAAAAGGAAAUUAAAAACGUUCGCUUUGGGGGUGUCGGAAACGAGAGGGUCGCGGGGCGCGCGCAAAUCUACUUCAACUUCCGCUAAUGUCCGCCAACCGGAACAGGAACCGCUCAGAGGAAGUUAGCCCACAUCCGUUAAUAUCGUAAAACGAUUAAAAUUUAUUUAACGUUCGCACAUAAAUGUUAAUUAAACAAUAACUAACAAUUAGAAGAAUACAAACCCAUUAAAAAACAAAGAUUAAGUGACUGUUCCUGAAACCUGUGUGUUCCUACCUUAUGGACAAAUAAGUUUUGAUUAUAUGUAAACAGUGAUAUUGAAAGCUUUUUGCAGAUGAGUAGAUCUCGAAUGAACUGCAUUAUGUAACCUUACAUGUGCGGUGUAGUUCAAGGCUGUAUGUUACGACAUAAUCUUUAUAUGGCUGCAUGGGAAAAUUGUGUAUACAUAUUAUGUGCUGAAUCUUAACGUAUUAUCCACGUUCCCAUAACAUGUACAAUUGAUAUAUAAAUAAACUAUUU
Molecule: long non-coding RNA, 2144 nt
Organism: Papilio xuthus (Asian swallowtail)
Lineage: Eukaryota; Metazoa; Arthropoda; Insecta; Lepidoptera; Papilionidae
Exons: 3
Source: RefSeq, a predicted model, not a curated record